AUUCCGGAGAAUAUGUAUUUUCCAUUAUAGGAUGUUCUUUCUAUCAAGGUAGAGUUAGUAGUAGUUCCAUUUCUCUUCUAUACAAAAGCAUUAUUGCUCAACAUCCCUCAUGAACUUAGACAAUUGGAUGAAUAAGACAUUAGAACCACCAACUUCUGUGAGUUUUAUCUUUCCAUGAUUCCGGUGAUCGAGUUGCAACCUUCAUUAGCUAUUGGACUCAGAGAUACUCUGUAAACUCGGACGCCAUGAUUUCGAGCUUGAAGCAGCAGCUAAGUUUGUUGUUCCAGGUCUUUGCCUGUUUCCUUCAUGUCUUUUAGCCUUGUUCUUAUCUGAUUCAGAGUUUCCAGCUUCAACUUCACAGCUUGAUCUUUGAUUGUCUUGCAACUCUGGUUGAUUCUUUUUCAUCUUUGCAUGUUUCUUAGCUCUCAAUACCUUCAUCACCUCUUGUGUUGUGACAAGUCUAUAAGCUCUGCCAAGGACUAAAGUGUCUGUUUGACGGAGAAGUUUAACGCGUGUGAAACGAACAGUUUUAUCAUUGGAGUUGUCAUCGGAGGAGAUAGGAAGAGGUAUGAUGAGUGAAACAUAGUGACCAGGGUUCAUUUUCAUAACUUCACUAGCUGUCAUAGGCCAAUACAUCCUGUCUAUCUUACCAUUUGGAUGUUGUAUUACUAGUGCAGCUGCAUCAACAGCCUGGCAAUUCCCCAUUUGGUUGAUUUUCGAUUUCUUAGAAGAAGAAGAUGGAUAAGAAGGCAAGGAAGGAAGAAGGAAAGAAGGUUAUGAAAUAGACAAGAGUCUCUUUCCAAGU
Molecule: unclassified non-coding RNA, 805 nt
Filed under: Hevea brasiliensis (rubber tree)
Lineage: Eukaryota; Viridiplantae; Streptophyta; Magnoliopsida; Malpighiales; Euphorbiaceae
Source: RNAcentral